AAAAAUCUGAAAUGGACUCUCAGGACGUCUAGGGGCGUGGCCUUCCCCAUCGCCAAGCUGGGUGUGCUGCUACCUUGGAAGCAAUUAGGCCCGCUCCUGAAUUUGGGCCUGUCCAACCUGGGAUCCAUGGAGCCCAGAGAGCCCAGGGAGGGCCUCCGUCGGCCGGGGGCUGAAAUGACCAUUCCUGGGGAUUCCUUCCUGGUCCUGUUGAGUUACAAACUGCUUAACUGUUUGUUACUGCAAAUAAGCAGAAGAGCCUGCCAACAGUAAAGAGCUGAAGCUUUGCUCCUGCCGGCCACCUCAAGAUGAUAAACUCUCCCGGGCUGGGGAUGUGGCUCAAGCGGUAGCGCGCUCGCCUGGCAUGCGUGCGGCCCGGGUUCGAUCCUCAACACCACAUACAAAGAUGUUGUGUCCGCCAAUAACUAAAAAAUAAAUAUUAAAAAUUCUCUCUGUCUCUCUCUCUCUCUAAAAAAAAAAAAAAGAAGAAGAAGAAGAUGAUGAUAAAUCCUCCGUGUUUUCUUUUUUUUUUUUUUUUGGCUAGGGAUUUUCUGAAAUUCUGCUAUUCCUAAAACUGAGGUUUGGCCACAAGGUGACUGGUCGAUUUUGCAUUUGGACCAGCAAAGCUUUCUCAACCUAAAUGGACUUUGUGGCUUCAUUUCUCCAAACCCCCCAUCUUCUUCAUUACUAUUCUUCUGAGAAAUUACUUCCCAUCAGCAAUACUUGCCCCCAGCUGGUGAACCAGAGGGGGUUCUUUUUUGUAGUUCACAAACACUAAAGGCCGAGGGCAGCAAAUCUACACCAGGUGCCAGCUAAUGAAAAGCCUCACAUGAAAGCUUACGCAAAGGGGACAGGCACGGGGCAAAUGUACUGGUAUCCAAGAUUGCUCACUCUUCUCCCACACACUGCAGAAUAGAUAGUAAUGAUUAUUAAUUAUUCAAGCAAUGAACACACAAGCCAGCACAGAUGGUUUAAAAAAAAAAAAAGAAAAGAAAAGGAAGUUACACUUUAAGAUCCUCUGUUGAUAUCCUCUUAAUUAGCACUAUCUAUGGAGCCAAGGGAAACAGACCGAGAUGCUUACUAAUAAAAGAAUUUUUUUUAAAUUUUCCUGUCAUUUUUUUUCUUUAACCUAAAAAAUCAUUAAAAGACAACUUAGGGGCUGGCACUGGGGCUCAGUGGUGGAAUGCUUGUCUCAGAUGUGAGACACAUGGUUCAAUCCUCAGCAGCACAUAAAAAUAAAUAAAUAAAGCUAUUAUGUCCAUCUACAACUAAAAAAUAUUUAAAAAAAGAAAGAUAACAUAGGUUAUAUUUGUAUACAUUGCUGAUGAAAUGGAAUUUUAAAAUCAAGUGUUUUCCACAGUCUUUUGUGAUAGCAUAUCAAAAAAGGGAUAAAACCUUCACAGAUGUUUUUUUUUUUUUUAAGACGAGGUGUCCGGCUGGCCCUUAACUCCUGGGUCAAAGGAACCUCUGCCUCAACUCCCUGAGUAGCUGAGAUUGUGGGUGCACACAGCUGUACCAGCAUCAUAUUUUCAAUUCAAAGCUUCAACCUCAUGUCACUCCUGGUACAUUUUAUUUGUUCUCUGUAUAUAUCAUGAUACAUAGAGGAGUUUCUUCCUUUUAGAUAACAUCUGGCACUAUUUAAAAGUUAAGAACCCUUAUUAGGUGUGGUGGCACAUACCUCUAAUCCCAGCAACCUGGGAGGCUUUUAGGCAGGAGGAUCACAAGUUUGAGGCCAGCCUUAACAACCUGGAGAGGCUCUAAGCAACUUAGCAAGGCCCUGUCUCAAAAUAAAAAGGGCUAGGGAUGUGGCUCGGUGAUUCACCCCUAGGUUCAAUCUCCAGUACUAAAUAA
This is a long non-coding RNA of Ictidomys tridecemlineatus (thirteen-lined ground squirrel), 1848 nucleotides long. NCBI's taxonomy places the organism in Eukaryota, Metazoa, Chordata, Mammalia, Rodentia, Sciuridae. The record is from Ensembl.